AGGUAAAGCACUGAAUGGACUAGGGGCCGCGAGGUUACCGAACCCUAUCAAACUAAGAAUGCCGGAUAAUUGGUGCAUGGCAGUCAGACUACGUGAGAUAAGUCUCGUGGUCAAAAGGGAAACAGCCCAGAUCCACAGCUAAGGUCCCUAAUAGAUGCUAAGUGUAAAAUGAUGUGGAGUUGCACAGACAACCAGGAUGUUGGCUUAGAAGCAGCCACACAUUCAAAGAGUGCGUAAUAGCUCACUGGUCGAGUGAUCCUGCGCCGAAAAUGUAACGGGGCUAAAACGCGACACCGAAGCAGCGGGAUGCGUAAGCAUCGGUAGAGGAGCAUUGUGUGAGGAUAGAAGCCAGAGCGGGAGCACUGGUGGACUUCACAGAAGAGAGAAUGCCGGUAUGAGUAGCGAGACCCAUGCGAGAAACAUGGGCGUCGAAGGCCCAAGGUUUCCUGGGGAAGGUUCAUCCACCCAGGGUAAGUCGGGACCUAAGCCGAGGACUGAGGUCGUAGGCGAUGGACAGCAGGUAGAGAUUCCUGCACCACUUACACUUGUUUGACGAAGCAGUGACACAGAAGGAUAGGACGAGCGCGGUGAUGGUCAACCGCGUAGGCGGCACGAGGCUGGGGAGCAGUAAAGUACACUUCCCGGGAAGGCUGAGUGCUGACAGGACCGAAAAAGAGUAGGGAAGCGUCUGAGUUCACGCUGGCGAGAAAAGCUGCUAAGGAGAGUGUGAGUGCCCGUACCGGAAACCGACGCAGGUGGGCGAGGAGAGAAUCCUGAGACGGACGGGAGAACUCUUGUUAAGGAACUCGGCAAAAUGACCCCGUAACUUCGGGAGAAGGGGUGCCUCGAAAGAGGCCGCAGAGAAUAGUCACAAGCGACUGUUUAGCAAAAACACAGGUAUCUGCGAAAGCGAGAGCUGACGUAUAGGUGCUGACGCCUGCCCGGUGCUGGAAGGUUAAGGGGAAGUGUUAGGGGAAACCCGAAGCAGAGAACCGAAGCCCCAGUAAACGGCGGCCGUAACUAUAACGGUCCUAAGGUAGCGAAAUUCCUUGUCGGGUAAGUUCCGACCCGCACGAAUGGCGUAACGACUUGUGAGCUGUCUCAACAGGAGGCCCGGUGAAAUUGAAGUAUGUGUGAAGAUGCACAUUACCCGCGACUGGACGGAAAGACCCCGUAGAGCUUUACUGUAACCUGACAUUGGAUCUUGAUAACGGAUGCACAGGAUAGGUGGGACGCUGGGAGGUAUGGACUUUGGUCUGUACGGAGCGGACGUUGGGAUACCACUCUUCUGUUAUUGAGAUUCUAACCUCAAGCCGUAAGCCGGAUGAGAGACAGUGUCAGGCGGACAGUUUGACUGGGGCGGUCGCCUCCGAAAGAGUAACGGAGGCGCCCAAAGGUACCCUCAGAAUGGAUGGAAACCAUUCGAAGAGAGCAAAGUCAGAAGGGUGCUUGACUGCGAGACCAACAAGUCGAGCAGGUACGAAAGUAGGGCUUAGUGAUCCGGCGGUAAGAGAGUGGAAUUGCCGUCGCUCAACGGAUAAAAGCUACCUCGGGGAUAACAGGCUGAUCUCCCCCAAGAGUUCACAUCGACGGGGAGGUUUGGCAC
RNAcentral lists this ribosomal RNA (1606 nucleotides) under human gut metagenome. RNAcentral's name for it is "bacterial LSU rRNA". It matches the Rfam family "Bacterial large subunit ribosomal RNA", at positions 900 to 2524 of the family's 2925-position model. The record is from RNAcentral.